CCGGCCACCGCUCUCUCCCCCCCUGUCCCGCAAGAUUCUUCUCUCCCUUCUCCCAAAUCCCCCCCGAUCCACCGCCCGCCGGGAGUCCCCCCGCCGCCGUCGCCCGCCGGAGCCCCAACGCUACAGCGAGGACGCCGCCGCCCGCGUGCGUGCUGCUGCGUGGGACGCGGAGUUGCUCACUCGCUCCAGCUGCUGCUUGGUUUGCUUCCAUUACUGGCAUUGCGUGGAGCUUCUGUGCAAGGCGCGUCCGGGCUCGUGGGGGGAGCGUGUCGGGUUCGGGCCAGGCCUGAAGCGCGGCG
RNAcentral lists this long non-coding RNA (299 nucleotides) under Oryza brachyantha (malo sina). Its description in RNAcentral is "long non-coding RNA (OBRA_LNC002711)". The record is from RNAcentral. Lineage: Eukaryota; Viridiplantae; Streptophyta; Magnoliopsida; Poales; Poaceae.